Molecule: long non-coding RNA, 15319 nt
Filed under: Coffea arabica (coffee)
Lineage: Eukaryota; Viridiplantae; Streptophyta; Magnoliopsida; Gentianales; Rubiaceae
Description: long non-coding RNA (CARA_LNC000383)
Source: RNAcentral
UUUUUUUUUUUUUUUUGUUUUGGGUCCAGAUGCAGUCACUUGGAACAACAGUGAUGACUAGCAUUAGCGACCACAAAUUAAUACUAGUAGACAGCAUGCCAUAAUCAACUAUAGUUAGGAAAAUUAAUGAUCGCUAACUAAAACCUUUUCAAACAUGGUAAGCUGAUGAUGACACUUUGCCAGGUAUUAACCACUCGCUUUUCAUCUAUAGAAGCGAGCAUUAAUAGUUUUUGUCCAGCAAAAGAGACUAGUGAGAUUCGAUUUUCAUCUUUAGGAUGACAAUGAUCUGAUUUCUCCUGGUUUGGAUCGCAAUUUUUCUUCAAAAAUUUUUUUAUAUUUUUUAUGAAUAAAUUUUUUAAUUAUUUUUUUUAUUUCACAAACAUCAAAUCGUUAUAAUACAUAUUUUUUACAAAAAAUAUAAUCCAAACAUAGAGGUGCACGAUUGUUUGGACUGACAAGAUACCACGAGAGACAUUGCUUCAACUACCAACCGUGCACUCACGAAAUACACCAAAAGUUGUCACAAAAUGAACCACAAUAUUGGAGCUUUGAAUUUGUGGACUACUAUCCAAUCGUUUAGAACUUCAAAUAACUCCAAGCGAGACUUGCCUCUCCCAUUAAUGAUGCUACUGACCAUGAGUUUCAUUUUCAAAAUGGAUAAUUUCAGAAACCUCCUCUAAAAUUUUUAACUGUUUUACCAGUCUCUUUUUAGGUUUUUAAAAUUACAUUAAUUUCUCUUGAAAUUAAUUAUCUGGUAACAUUUAGACUCAAUCAAUAGUUUAAAAGUAAUAUUAGGAGAGAUAAAAUUAUAUAAUUUCGUCAUUGUCUCUCACCUAUUAUAUUAUUUAAUUAAAUUAAUACCAACUCACACAUUAAAGAAAAACAUUAAAAUUUGCUGUUAUCGUUAGGAUUAGAUCACAUAUAACAUCAAAAAAUAGUAUAUCAUUUUAUAUUUUUUUUUACUUAAUAUGAGAUAUAAAUUACUUUUUUUAGUUAUAUACGUAUUGUCAAAUAUGAUCAAUAACAAAUAAUUAAAAAAUUUGCAACCAAAGUAUUAUAAAGAAUAAACUUUAAUAUCAUAAAUACUCUUGCCAACAUAUUAAGUUUAGCUGUUAAAAUUUUUAUGGUAUUAAAAUUCAUUCUUUGUAAUAAUUUGGUUGCAGAUUCUUUUGAUUAUUUAUUGUUGAUCACGUUGGAUAAUGGGUUUAUAACUGAAAAGAGUAAUUUGGAUAUUACGCUGAGUGAAAUAUAUAUAAUGAUACAUUAUUUUUGAUGCUAUAUGUGAUUUAGUUCGUAAUGAUCAACAACAAAUUCUAGUAUUUUCUUUAAUAUUUGAUUGAUAUUUGAUUAAUUACACAAUUUAGUGGACGAGGCGUAAUGGUGGAAUCAUAUUAUCGUUCUUCUCAUAAUAUCAUUUUUUUAAUUAUUGGUUGAAUCUAAAUGUUACAAGUUAAUAAAUCUCAAUAGAAACUAGUAUAAUUUUCAAAAUUUGAAGGGAGGUCAAUGAAAUAGUCAUAAACCUCAAGGGAUGAGGUUUCUAAAAUUAUCCCUUCUCAAAAAGACCAUAUAGGAGAAAUUAUACGUUGAUAAGUCUAGUCGUUACUUUUAAAAGAAAUAAGUCUAGUCGUAGUUAGGGUUGCAAAUGAGUUGAGUCGAGUUAAAUUUUGAACUUUUCGAAUUGAGUUUGACUUGUUAACAUACGAGUUUGAAUUCGAGCUCGAGUUCGUCGAGUCAUAAAAAUAAAACUCGAGUUCGACUCAACCUAGAAAAAGGUAAGUUCAAAUCGACUCGUUUUUGGCUCACGAAUUUAGCUCAAUUUCUGGCUCACGAGCUGUUUGAGAUGUCAACUCGAGUUUUGGUCAAUAUUCUGGCUUAUGAGGAAUUCGAAGUCAAUUUAAUUUUAAUUGAUGUAGGGACAUUUUUAUAAUUUCACAUCAACUCGAGUUUUUUCAAGCGUUUCGUGAAACUAUCGAACCCAACAAGUGACUACCCAAGUUCGACUCGUAUAUAUUAACGAUUUACUUGAGUUCGAACUUAGCUACUUGAGAGCCAUUCGUGUGGAUUGCAGCCCUAGUCACAGCAACAAAUCUGGGUGACUUGGACACUAACCUAACUUAAAUGAGUGAAUUCUAUUCUGUUGUGGGAUGGUGGUGGCAGAAUCAGCAAUGUCCAUUUUUCAACGGCAAAAACCCAAAAGUUGAUAGUACACGAUAAAGCGGUGGAUAUUCCACUUGUCACCUGGUCGUUUCCUGUCUUUUUGCGUGUGGGCAACACAUCGUCACUCAAUUUCACUUAGUCACCAUUUUUCGGACUCGGGGCACGGACGGUUGCAGGUGCAACCGUCCAGGGCAAUUUUGGCCAUUAUCAACUGCGCGUAACUUUCUUUGUAUAUCGUGUAACUUUUUUUUCACAUGAUGUAUUUUCACAACAGAUAGUGGUGGGUCCCACACUUGGCGCGGAAAUCGAGUUACAUGGUGUAAUCUCAGCCGCACAAAAUUUUGAGGGCAAAUCUUGGCCCUUAACCGUGCAGGGACGGUCAUCAGUAUGACUGCGUAGGGAUUGGUGGUACACAAACUGAUAAACUUCGUCUCUCUAAACUGCGGAUUGAGCUGGCUCCUUUUUUUUAGAGGGAGUCAAACCUACUAGAGGCACUUGACUUUUUUGUUCUCGACCAAAUCAAAGCCGUAAUACUAAUAUCUCUCUCUUAUUUCUUGCACUGCCAUAACUCCUGAACAUAUUAUUGUACUCCCUCCGUCCCGUUUUGUUAGUCUUGGUUUUUUUUUCACACAGAUUAAAAAAGUGUAAUUAAUUUGAUUGGAAACAUAAAUUUAGAUUAAUAAUUUCCUAAAAUACCCUUAUGCUAAUCACGAAGAGUGCCAAUUAAUAUCAGUUACAGCUAAUGGGUUAGUAUUGGAAAAGUUCAAUGUAUUCAAUGUAGUGGGUUAGUAUUUAAUAACAAUGUAUUAAUAACAAGAUAUUUAAUAAGGGUAUUUUAGACAAUUUGAAAGAUUACUACAUUUCUUAAUGGGAAAGUGGACUACAAUUUGGGACAAACGAAAAAGGAAAACAAGACUAUCAAAGUGGGACGGAGGGAGUAAGAAUCAAACAGCACUCCGUUGACAAAGAGGCGUCAUAUUAUUAUGAGUAGUGGCGUGCUCUAUUCUAUUUGGUAGCUGAGUACCACACAACCUAUUCCACAAGCACUCAUCAUUUAUCAAGAAAUUGUGAUUAGUGCACUGGCAACUCGAAUUACACACUUAGAACCAAAAAUUAUUUAUGUGUUCUUCGAACUAAGCACCCUUUGCCGAACCGUUGAAACUCAGUAACCAAAAAUUAAUGCUGUAGAACGUAUUUAUAUGGUCUUUGAUUCGAACUGCGCCAACUCAAGUACUGAUGGGUUUGACAUUUUUUAGUCACCUUGGUUGAGCUUCUUUAUAAACAAAACGAUAAAGGUUUAUGGUGCCAACGAGUCUCAGAACUCAUUGAGGUCAUUUAAUUAAGUGCAGAUCAGAUAGACAAAUAUUUUAGAGAAUUAAUAUUUCGGAAUGUGAAAGACAGCUGAACCUCCACUUUUUUUUUAUAGGGCAAGAAUCCCACCAAAUUUUCCAGGACAUAAGUCCUAUUCCUGUACAAGUAAUACACCAAUUAAGUUCUCAUUAAGCCGUGUAUAUAUUGCAGAAUCUCAGUCGGGAAUAAAGAAUGCAAAAAGAAAUCCGCAUCGUAUGUAUAUCCUGCUAUUCAAGCGGGACAGUUCAGUAGGAGAAAGCAUACAACUCAAAACUCAAGUGUACCCAUAUACAGUUUGACAAAUUAGCCCGAGUACUGUAUGAUCGAACAAAAGGCCGAAGGAGUGGAAAGUAAGGAGAAGAAGAAAGAACGAGGACGUUUCCAGCUCUAGUCAAAAGGCCGAAGGAGUGGAAAGUAAGGAGGAGAAGAAAGAACGAGGACGUUUCUAGCUAGCCUGGGUACGUUUUAAUUAAUGCUCGACCCUGUGGGGAUAUCGCAUGCAUAUGCAUAUGGGCAAAUUUUCAACGGGUAUCCAUUGUGGAGGAGAAUGAUGAAACGCACUCAUAAACUCGCUAAAAAUUCCCCCUCCCUCAUUCGAAUUAUGCCACUUUCUUAUGCUUAAAUUUCUGUAAAUUUUUCUUGCAGAUAGGUUUCUAUCAACAGCAAUUGCUUUGAAUCCAAUGAAUUCAUCAAAUGCACGUCCCACAUUUAAACCUGAAAAUCCUUCUUCUUCUUAAAUAAAAGUAUAAAAACCUCCUCAUGAUUCAUGAACUGCCGGUGCUUGGAAACUUAACGCUGAUUAAUAUCGUGCACCAAGUAUAUAUAAUCAUGAUACAAAUGCAUCACCUCCAUGGCCUUUUUUUCACAUAUGGAAUAUUAAUUAAUCAAGAUUUUGGUCCAUGAGGGUAUUUUGCUCUUCAGAAAAAAAAAAAAAAAAAAUCCCAUGAAAUUUUUUUUGUUAAUGGAUGAAAACGUGACACCAUUCAUUUGCAUUUGCCUGCUCUUUAUCUGCUUAUCGUCUUAAUUUGUGGAACUUUCUCGCGUCCAAAACGUGUAGUGACAAUCUAUUAAGACAUUUCUUUUCGCCAAUUGGAUUAUGCGAUCAGGGGGGUGUACGUACGUUUUAGUGCUUAAAUAGUAGGUAGCUAGGUAAAAUUUUCCCCAACUGAUAUUAUUAGAUUCCACUCGGGCGGCUAUUUUGUAUUUGAGCAAAGGUAGGUCUAGCUAGUAGUUUGCUGUUUAUAAAAAGUUUAAAUUGCUUUUACUAAAGUUUCCUAAAUUCAGAACGGCAGUUCAUAGUGCCUGACAUUUAUAAGAGAUCAUCUCUUAUCCUAUUUGUCUUUAUAGGCACAUGCAUAAGAGAGAAAGCCUUUUUGAAAAAAUAAACUUUUUUUUUUUAAAAAAAAAAAACUAUACUACAUCAAUAUUAAUUGUCUACAUUUAACGGUGAUUUCAACCUGAGAUAUGAUACAUCAAAAUUAAGGACCGUCGUAAUUGUCUAACACAUUCCUAAACUUGAAUAUUUUUAAAUGCUGGAAAAUAAACAUGCAUGCUAUCAAGUCCAUAACUUUAAUGGCGGUUAAAUUUUAAUUACCCACAUUCCUCAGGUGCUGGAGGUCGCCUGUCUAUAAGUACGGAUGAUUAGUACAAAAGUUAGGCCAGGAUGAUCAAUGAUGAUGUACGACACUACUGCCAUUUUCAUUCUGUUAGCUUUAAACUCUACCCCCUCCCACCGCCGCCGUGUGGCCGUGGAAAUUUUAUUGGAAAGUGGCCUUCAAACACUAGAGCACGACAAGUUUCUUUCGAGAAAGGUCACUAUCUUAGUAGUAUUAAAUUAAUAGCACUAAAGAUAAAGAAGACAUAAAAUGUGAUCACUAAUCAAAAGCUCUUGUGUGGUACAGACACCGUACUUCUAAAGUAAAGCAGCCGUGGUUAGAGUUAGACAGCAAAAAAGCAUUUUGACUCAUUUCUCCACCGGACGUUGGAAAUGGAGGCCAAUACCGUUGUAGCUGUAAUUUUCUAAUGUUUAUUUCCAGAAUUUUCUUAGAUAAUAAUCAUCACGUCUGACGUGCUACCAUUACUCAAAGAUACUCUCAAAGAUUUUCUAUGACAGGUAUUAUAAUCCAUUGUAGUUUUCACUGUACAAGGUUAGCGCCAGUUGUUAUUUACCCAUAUGAUGAAAUGGUAAAAGUCUCUCCAUCCAAACGAAAUCAAUGCAUGGUCAUAUUCGUGCUUCUUAUGAAUUGGACAUUCUUAAGUUUAUUUGGACCAUACGAUGGAGGACGAAUUUUAAUAUAUCUGAAUCUAAGUAUAUAACAUAACAUAUUAUCUAAUUUUUAUGAAGUUUAUAUUUUAUAGUUGCAACAUAAAUUCUGCCAACGUAAAAAAAAAUAAUCGUUUUAAACCCCUCAUAUAAUGAUAGUGGGUCAUUUCUUGUCAGUGAGUACCGUGAACACCGCAAUAAUAUGAAUUCCUAUCUCAUUCAUCAACCUCUUAGCAUUUGGUUAUCGACCCGCCAAGGUCUCGAUUAACGGAGGUAUUAACUAAGAUUUAGUCCCUAACAUAUUAUCUAAUUUUUAUGAAGUUUAUAUUUUAUAGUUGCAACAUAAAUUCUGCCAACGUAAAAAAAAAAAAUCAUUUUAAACCCCUCAUAUAAUGAUAGUGGGUCAUUUCUUGUCCAGUGAGUACCCUGGACAUCGCAAUAAUAUGAACUCCUAUCUCAUUCAUCAACCUCUUAGCAUUUGGUUAUCGACCCGCCAAGGUCUCGAUUAACGGAGGUAUUAACUAAGAUUUAGUCCCUAACAUAUUAUCUAAUUUUUAUGAAGUUUAUAUUUUAUAGUUGCAACAUAAAUUCUGCCAACGUAAAAAAAAAAAGAAGAUCAUUUUAUACUUGGCAAUUUUCUAUUGCUUUUAAUUCAUGACAUGAGAAUAUUAUAUGGCAUAUGAUCUAUAUAAUAUUUUUCUCAAAAAAUUACUUUAAAAUAAUGGUGUCUUCAAAGCACAUCUAGCUAGUAACAAGUGUGUUUGAAUAGGAAAUUAUUUAAAAUAAUUAUUAUGAUCUUUUUUGUGACAUGAUAUAUGUGAAAUAAAAAGGUGAUUGAGAAGAUAAAAAGUUGAUUAGAUAUUGUAUUGUGAUGCAAGCAAAAUGUUAGCAUGUUAUUCAUAAUCUAGAGUUAAGGGUGGUUUAAUUACCCGUCCCAUUUUUAAUUUUUAAAAAAACUAGUAAAAGUCUUUCUAUCCAAACAUAUUAAUGCAUGGUUAAUCUUGAGGCAGCUUCAAUGAUUUUUUUUUUUGGACUUUCUAUUAAGUUAACGUGGGCGGGACUGUGCAUAGAAGAAAAAUUGACCGGUGGUAUCAUGAACUCUGCCAAAAGGAAAAAGAUCUUGGAAACCACUCCCACUCCCUCCCUUAGAGUUAAAAGAAGACAAAACCACGGAUUGACUUUGCUGUAGACAAAAUUAAAAUAAGAAAAAUAAAAAUGAUGAUGCAUUCCGGUUAAUGACAAUUACUAGUGGCCCAAUACGAAGCACCUAAACGGAAGCCGUCCUAUGAUUAAUCAUGCCUAGGCUUACUCUCAGUCGUGCCAACUCAACCUCUCCUUCCUUAUCGUCUCAAAAUCCAAUUGUCCGUUCUUUGACUUCUUUGAAUUGAUGCCUCUCAGCUUGAUCAUUAUUCGCAGCUAGCCCAGUAAUAGAUUGCUUAAAGGGUGUUUGGUAAGUGGAUUUUAUAUUAAGGAAUGAGUUUUGAAGAGUAUGCCGAAAUCACAAUUCGAACAGAGCUUCUGUGUGUGUUCCCGAACUGACCUGCAAUAAGUCGAACAGAGGGACUAGCUCUCCGUUGUAACUCCGACGCUCAAAUCAGUUGAGAAAUAAGAGGGAAUAGAGAAAGUAAUUGUAUUGUAUGGCGUUGUGUGUGUAUGUACCUUGUUAGGUUCCCUCCGUUCCUUAUUUAUAGAGCUGCUAGCGAUAAUUUUCAGGGAAUCCAAAGUUAUUCCACUACGCACAGUAAUUAUCUCAUUAGAAUAUGAGUUCUACUGGAUCACUAGAAGCAGAGCCCCUCUUGGACUCUAAUCCUGGCCUUGUCCCGAAGAAUGAGGAGCUUCCUUGCCAGUUCGACCUAUGACCAAACAGGCUCAUAUGUUGGGCCGAACUGGCCCGAAAGAACUGACACAUGUCGGUGGACAAUUAGCUCCUCUACAAGUUUCAAACUUAAUCAUAAUAUGAUCAUACUGAUAGUUUGGUUAAAAUUAAUCAGAAUGAGAUAAUGAACACGAUAGACCCAUUCUAUGAGUUUUGUGAUUAAUUAUAUUUCAGUAGACAAUUAAAAUUUGCUUAACCAUGUAUCUCAUAUAUUUUUAAUUAAAAAUAAAAAGAAGUCAAUUGUAAAAGAGCAGUGAAAAAAAUAGGAGAAAGACGACGAAAAAGGAAAAAAUUGUAAAACCUAUGUCUAGAUUUUAGUUGCCAAACAGUGUACGAAUUUCGACAAAAACCCAUUUCCAUUAACCUGUAAAUCAUAAUCAUUAUGAUUGUGACUGACGAACUUUUAUCAGAGGUUUCUUAAUUCAGCCACUUUGCUAAAAAGUUCAGAUAGCAAAAACCAGCAAAAAGGCAGCUAAAUUAGGAGAUGAUAUAUUAGCUUUUUCAACAUCAAAACGAAAAAGAAAAGGGAAUUAGGAGAUAAUAUAUCUGUCACUAAUAAGAUGGAAAUGCUCUCUGACUUUAUCGCCAUUUUCGAGACCGGAAACUAAAACCAUGUCAUGGGUAGCAGCCGAUAGAAGAGCCAUUGAGGGGAGUUGAGUUAAUGGGCGCAGUAAUGUCGGCCUCCGUCUUAAGCUGACGGAGAGUAUGGUGCUUGCUUGCCCACCAACCCAAAUGCCUAAAGCAGGAACGAUCUUUAAACCUGAGAGCCUGAACCCCGAAGUGUACUCUAACUAAUACUACAAUGAACUAUGUGCAUGUGCUACAUCAAUCAAAUCAUUUUUGUUGCUUGCAUCGUAUUAUCCAAUCAACAAGUUCCAAUAGUGGCCAUUUGAUUGAUGCCCAGUAGUAACGUAGUGUGGACAUUCCAUCAAGGACAUGAUUGUUAUUUUUAGGAUUUUUUUUUUAAAAAAAAUGUAUCGUAGCGAUUUGAUAUAUAUGAAAUUAAAAAUUAAAAAAUACUUUUACAAAAAACGUAAAAAGUUUUUGACAAAAAAUCACAAACCAAACCAGGCAGGCUUUCUAUAUGUACCUAUGCUUUAAAAUUCAGGCUAAAUAGUGACUUAGAUUAGAGUUAAAGAUUAGGGGUUAAUGACUUCGACUGAUCGGACUGAUGUUAAAUAAUUGAAUAAUGUUAUAUAAUUAAAAUUUUAUUAUAUUAUAUAUAAAAAUUAUAUUCUUAACAUGGAUAAGAAUGUUAGUUUUAUUUCUCAAGUUUUAUUAGCAAACAUUCUAUACUCCAAUGCCCUUUAAACUUAACUCAAAGUUGACGAUUGGAAGUUAUAAAUACAAAUUGACAGAUUUUUCGGUUAAACACAGUUUUGACCGAAUAUUUGACAGAUGAGUUUUUGAAGAAACUUGAAUCAAGUGUCUGAUCAAUUACCGGCUUAAACAGUUGGAUCGAUCGAUCCCGUCCGAGUUAAAGGCAUAGGUAUAUACAUUUAGGUACGCACUAGUAAGCGCUUCUGGUGUGUCCCCCCCCCCCCCCUCUUCUCCCAAAAAAAAAAAAAAGCUUUUUUGGUUUUUUGGUUUAAUAAAUAAUCCUGAUGGUGCGUAAGGAGCGCGUUCCACUUCCGAAUGCACGAGUCACUAAGUUUCGAAGACAAAACUUUCAACGUGUGAAAAGACACACCUGACUGAUCAUGAGAACUACAAUUGCAUAUGAUGCUUGGUGUAGUACGACCAAAUCAAAUUACUGGAAAAGGUUUCAAUAUUUUUCUUUGGCGAACGCAAUUUAGGUAACGACUGCGACUCGUAUAGUCGUAUGUCUACCUCUCUGCCGGCUAACUAUAUAAUCAUCUCAUCAUGCGUGCAUGGUUGCAUCGCCCAUAUCCCAGCUCUCUUACGACUAGCAAAGAUAUACGGGCACCUGACAAGAGUAACAGUACUACCCAGUAUCAACUCUACCAGGCCCAAAAGAUAAAGAGAAUUGAGCAAGAAGGAGUGAUGAACUCAACCGUCAUUCCAAUUCCUCCAAGUGCAGAAAAUGUUGAAUCCUCGUAUAAGGACGCCAAAAACAUGGGAAACAAGUUUUCGUUUCUAUCCACUUGUAGUGUUGCUUUCCGGGUCAUCCAGGAAAAAAGAUGUAGUCAGGGCAGCAUGAGAAAAGUGAUUCACAGUGUCAAGGUGGGGAUUGCCUUGGUAUUGGUCUCGCUGCUGUAUCUGCUGGAUCCGCUGUUCACUGAAGUUGGAGAAAAUGCAAUGUGGGCUAUCAUGACCGUCGUGGUUGUCUUCGAGUUCUCUGCAGGUUUGCCAAUUAUUAACCCAUUAUUGUGACCCAAGUUGUUUAGUGGAGUACUAAAAACAUUUUUUCUGUGCAUGGCUGUUUGCGAAUAUAUGCAUAGGAAUUUUUUUUUUCUUUUUUCCUUUUUGGGCAAUAAACACACUAGUCAUAAGUACUAAUAGGAAGCAGGUUGAGAAACUUCUACUGUAGCCAUUUUUUGGGUCAAUCAAUUAGACAAUAUACUAACUGAUGUAUUCACUUUGAUUUGAUGCACGUAUGUCAGGAGCUACGCUAAGCAAAGGCAUAAACCGUGCAAUCGGUACCAUAUUAGGCGGUGGAUUGGGGUGCUUGGCUGCAAUGUUGGCUGACGAGUUCGGAGGGAUAGGCAACGCAAUCGUUGUUGGCGCUUCGGUUUUUAUCGUCGGUAAAAUAUUAAUCCUACCACGACUUAAACUCUGGACCGCAGUUUUGUGUGUGUGUGUGUAUACAUACAUACAUAUAUAUAUAUAUAUAUAUAUAUAUUAGUAGUACUUAAAAGUGACUCACUGCUUAAAAAAUCAUACUCAGGAGCGGCCGCAACGUAUUCGAGGUUGGUUCCAAGAAUUAAAAGGAGAUAUGACUAUGGCGUCUUGAUCUUCAUCCUCACCUUCAAUCUGGUAGCUGUGUCGGGGGUACGGGCCGACAAAGUGAUCAGGUUAGCCAAGCAGCGUCUGUCAACCAUUGGCAUGGGUUUUGCUGUCUGCAUUUUCACCAACUUGCUUAUUUUUCCAAUUUGGGCUGGUGAUGAGCUUCAUCGUUCUACAGCAGCUAAAUUCGACAAACUCGCACGUUGCCUUGAAGGUAAUUUUUUGAAAUUAGUUCUACUUCUGUACUUGGCGUAUAUACCUAAAUCGGGGAAUCAUUGUAUUGUUUGGCUUUUUUAAUUAAAGCAAAGGCAUGCACAAUGUAUUAGCCGCGCGAUUUCACUGAACGGAACAUCAUAUAAGUAAAUGAAUGGCGGAUUUGAUUAAUUUGUAGGAUGUUUGGAGGAGGAACCCAACAACAAAGCAGAAAAUCUGGGCGCCAAGGUCAAGGACUGCAAGUCAGUGUUCCACUCCAAGUCCACCGAUGAAUCACUGGUACGUUUUGAUCUGCUUUUAGAAGACACACACACACACAAAAACAACAGUUAUAUAUAUAUAUAUAUAUGGAGUUCUUGAAAUAAAUAAUUGGUGGGUGGAGAAACAAUCAGAUUUUAAUGGGAGUUUUUUAUACUAUUAGUAAUUUUCCCUGUCAGGGCACGUGUAUUUUACCUGCAAAUUUAAGAAACUAAUCCUUCUAACAAUAAUUAAUGCAGGCCAAUUUUGCUAAAUGGGAGCCCUGGCAUGGGAAAUUUGGAUUGUCUCAUCCAUGGGACAAGUAUCUGGAGAUUGGAGAGGUCCUGAGGGAGCUCGCCGCCUUAAUCCUUUCGCUCGGAGUGUGCGUUCAGUCAUCCAGACAGGUGUUCAAUUGAGUGACAGUCCUACUCCUCUCCAUGUUGUUCUUCAUCCCCACCCCCCAACAACCCCACAAACAAAAAAAUAAUAAUAAUAACGCAUUCUGCAUCCAUUCCUGGGUUUUUUUUUUUUUAAAAAAAAAAAUUUAAAAUUCUGAAAAAAAAUAUUUUUUUUUUCUUUUUUCCGGCUCCAUCCAUCAGGCUGCAGCAAACCAAAGCCGCGCAAUCAGAGAACCGUGCGAAAUCAUAGGGUUGUCUCUUGCAUGGAUAUUGAGAGAGCUGGGCGAGAGCAUCUUCAACAUGACAAGGUGCCGAGCCAAGGCUUUGAUAGCACCAAAGCUGGAGUUCAUUAAACAAGAACUAAGCCGGUUGGGCUCUUCUCUGCAAAUCAAAGGACUAGAAAAAGAUGAAAAUCUUGCGAUGGCAACCUUCACUUUCCUCUUAAUGCAGAUAUCAGAAAAUGUGGAAGUAAUAGCGCAAGAGGUGGAAAAACUGGGACAGCUUGCUUAUUUUAGGACCAAGAACCCAGAUGUUUAACAUUAAUCAAUACACUUGAUUUUGGCAUCAAUCAAUAUACUUGAAAUAACAAGUAAAUCGACUGUGUGGUCAAUCCAGUGAAAUAUCACCUUUCCUCUCUCUCUGAAUUCAGGAAAAGGCGAAAAUGAAACAUAAAUAUGGCGACCCGAUGGAAGUGUGACAGUAGUGUGAUACGACGUAUUAGCUAGAAUUGUAGCACUGCAGUUGAUGCAUCAUCAUUUUUUGUUAUGUGUAAGCAACUAUUACCAGUGCCUUCAAAUGUUGUCUGUAUAUAUAUAUAUAUAUGGCCUCAUUAAUUCAUCUUUCUUGAUGCAUCAUCUUUUUGUACUUGCGCAUGAUAUGGUGUGUCAAGUCAACACGGGUGAUUUUGUUAGCUAAGUACUGCAACAAAAUCUGAUCCUAUGGUUUUUUUUUUGUUUGUGUUUCUACAAAUCUAGGAGGUUAACACUCUGUUACCGCAAGGAUUUUUAUAUGCUUAUUAAGAAAACGUAGGGUAAGGACGCAAGAAUAUUUUUUAACCUUUUUGCAGGAUAAAUAUUACUUAAACGCAACCAAAUAUCAAAUAUUGGGUACCUUUAAUAUGAAAAUAAACCAUUAUACCCUCAUAAGCUUCCUCGUCGUUGGCUUUGUUGAGUUUACAGUGCAGCUUUUUCUUUUUUCUUUUAUCCAAGGAAUAAAAAUAAAGAUAAAAAGGAUAAGAGAAUAGGGAUGCCCUUGGGCCCCCCCCCCCCCAAAAAAAAGAAAAAAAAUUUGCAUCCAAAUCACUCAUCAAUAAUGAGGAGUAUUAACAUUUUAGCAUAAGGUCCAGACUUAUCAACCCGGGAUUUCACCAAGAUGGUCAAAAAAAAAAAAAAAAAACACUCACCCCCUUUGACCUCUGGUGUUUCUUCCUUCUCAGCUUUUUCUUCACAAAUUAUUUCUGACUUCAUGAAUAUCCAACAGUUACAAUAGAUAUUUAUGGCUACCCAUUUGUCGGUGGUAAAAAACACACACACAAGCACAAAAAUCACAAAAUUCUACUUCUACCACAAAUUUUAUAAACAACUCAAAUUUUGAUAUGACGAGACACAUAGGUUGUGUUCGCAUACAAGGUGCUCAACUCAUGCAAUGAUGCUUUAUUUCCAAGACAACCCAUCGAUCGUUUGGUACGCUGAAAAGGGUCAGAUCGAUAUGAGCACCGGUAGUUGGAAAGACAUCCAAAAUCGCAUACAUUGAGAAUGAUGAUGGUAAUUUGCAAUAUCAGAAAACGUAAAGCUUCGAUCACACACACGUUCGCUGGUAUCCAGUACAAAGGGAAAUCACCACUAAAAGGGGUACUGCUCGUACCUCAUCGAACAAUCGAGGAGCACAGCACGAGCACCAAUCCGGCUACCGCAACCGCUGAUCAUCGUCGUAUUAGCAGCAACUAGACAUUUUUCACAAUCUGAGCUAGUUAUGUUUUUGUUGCAAUUUGCUUGGCCGUAGGCAAAAGCAUUGGGAUAAGGAGAAAUAUUGCGGUAAUCAUAACCUUUGCGCGAUGGCGUCUGAGUCUCUAAAUCUGCAAUAACAUAUGCAAGACUGAUAGCAAAAGGAUCACCUCGAAAAUACACCCCAGAAUUGCACAGCACGGUCACGACUUGGGUGUUUGCAGCACUUUCCACGGACCAACAAAGUGAACCCGCCAUCCCAACAACUAAUAUUGCUGCAGAAAUUGCCGUAACGUGUCGAGCAAGACCCAUGAUUUCUUUUGCUUGGUCUUCUUCUCUGGAGCUUCGUCUUUUAUUUAUGGUUGAUCUUUUGCAAGUUGAAAAUUGAAAUGCCCCGCAUUUAGUUUGUUUAUCGUCGGCGAUGUCCUCGUUUUGGGCUGUUUCUUGCUUGUCUCGUGAUGGUGGACCGGUGGUCGCAUUUCGUGCCGGCCUCGUUCGCUGAUUGGACGUUGGUACUGAGGAAUUCAUUUAAACAAGGAAAAAACAAAGUUAAUUUUGGUAAGCCAAGCCUUUACCAAAAAAAAGGUAAGCCAAGCCAGGCCCGGCAACUUCUGUUGUCUCCUUAGUAGAUGUCACAAGCAAAGACAGAUAACAAAAGAUAUUUUGGUGCCACCAAUAAUGGUUUCGAGGGGCGUUAAUCUGAAUUCAAUGCCCACCAUGUGGAAAACAUUUUCUUGGGUAUCUCACUGCUACGCAUGGUGGAAUUUAAUUAUUGUGGUAAAUGGUAGGGAUAAUUUCAAAAACGAAGUUACUGACAAUAAUAUCAUUGAGCUCGUCUAACUAAGGUUUGUAAACUUACAACUACCUUCCUUGAUUUAAUAGUUUUAGUAACCAAAUCUUAAAAUAACAUUACCUUGAUCAAAAUAUUUAAAUGAAUAUCCUAAAAUACCCUCAUUUAAUGAAUUUUAAUUUACUUCCAUACAUAAUUGUAAAAUUAUCUAGCACAAUUAUAAGGAACAGAUGCCAAAAUUUUCAUAUUCAUAUCUAUUGUUUGAUAAAUAGCUAUAAUAACAAUAAUUUUAUAGCUAUUACAGGAUAUUUUUGAUGGUGUUUUACUAGGGAUUUAGAUUUAUAGGAUAGAAACGAAAGUGUUCAAAUAUUAUCUUUUAGACUUUAUGAAUUUUUCAAAUGGUGGAAUUAUUAUAAUUUGGUAGUAAUUUUGGGCCAUUUGUUUUAGAUUUAUCAUUGAUGUUGAUACCAAUAAAAAUAAAAUAGAAAAACAAAGAUCACCGUAAACGUUGGAUUACAUUCAAAGUUAACUCAUUAAAAAAAAUAUUACUAAUUCAACAUUUUGUUACAACAGAAACUAAAAGCAAUAGUGGCCGUCCAUGAUUUUGUUGACAAAAUAUAAAAAAAGACGAUGAAGAAGGGAAACGGACUAGAAAAUGAAAGUCCUAGUUGACUUUAGACUCAUCAAAUUGCAAUCUUCUCAAAUUUUGAGUCAUUAGAAAAUAUAAAGAGGGUAAUAUUUUUUUUUUUUUUUUUAAAAAAAAGGUAGAGUGGGCAAUGGGUAUGUGGGAUAAACUGGAAUAGUGGGAAAGGGAAGUUGAUAGGUAUUUUAUAAAUUCUACCAUGCUCAUAAUAUGAAUGGUAUCAGAAAAAGCGACAUUACAUCCAAAAGUUCGUAAUUUUCAUUUUCAGAUACAAUUUGAUACCAAAUUACUAAUGUUGGGCACAUCAGUUGCUACUAAAGUCAACAAAUUUCCUUUGUAUAUACCGUUCCAAAUGUACAAUUUACAGAAAAUCAAUGAAAAUGUAAUAUAAUUACAUGUAUAACUUGUGAUCUGGUAAAAUCGUUCAUACAAUCUAGAAUAUACAGAUGCUUUUUCCAGCAAUGCUGACAAAUUAGCAUUGGCAUGGAGCCCUUAGACAAGCCCGAUUGUGAGCUUCACGGAACCUGAUCAUUUUCUUUCCA